Phragmites australis (common reed) is the source of this 115-nucleotide small nucleolar RNA. RefSeq annotates it as small nucleolar RNA Z278. The record is from RefSeq and is a predicted model, not a curated record. NCBI's taxonomy places the organism in Eukaryota, Viridiplantae, Streptophyta, Magnoliopsida, Poales, Poaceae. The transcript has a single exon.
GCCUAUGAUAAAUUGCCCUGUGAAUGAGGUGUAGAUUGCUCCAGGUCCCUUAAUUUCAGGGGAGAACCUACUUGGGGUCCUACAUUGGUAUGAGAUAUAUGGCUCUUACUGAGGU